Molecule: ribosomal RNA, 499 nt
Filed under: uncultured bacterium
Lineage: Bacteria
Description: partial 16S ribosomal RNA
Rfam family: Bacterial small subunit ribosomal RNA
Source: RNAcentral
GACGAACGCUGGCAGCGUGCCUAAUACAUGCAAGUCGAGCGAAGUUUUUCUGGUGCUUGCACUAGAAAAACUUAGCGGCGAACGGGUGAGUAACACGUAAAGAACCUGCCUCAUAGACUGGGACAACUAUUGGAAACGAUAGCUAAUACCGGAUAACAGUAUUUCUCGCAUGAGAGAUAUUUAAAAGUUGGUUAUGCUAACACUAUGAGAUGGCUUUGCGGUGCAUUAGCUAGUUGGUGGGGUAAAGGCCCACCAAGGCGACGAUGCAUAGCCGACCUGAGAGGGUGAUCGGCCACACUGGGACUGAGACACGGCCCAGACUCCUACGGGAGGCAGCAGUAGGGAAUCUUCCGCAAUGGGCGAAAGCCUGACGGAGCAACGCCGCGUGAGUGAAGAAGGAUUUCGGUUCGUAAAGCUCUGUUGUUAGGGAAGAAUGGAUAUGUAGUAACUAUACAUGUAAGAGACGGUACCUAACCAGAAAGCCACGGCUAACUACGUG